Molecule: ribosomal RNA, 190 nt
Filed under: uncultured bacterium
Lineage: Bacteria
Description: partial 16S ribosomal RNA
Rfam family: Bacterial small subunit ribosomal RNA
Source: RNAcentral
UCGACUACAUGAAGCUGGAAUCGCAGUAAUCGCGAAUCAGCAUGUCGCGGUGAAUACGUUCCCGGGUCUUGUACACACCGCCCGUCACACCAUGGGAGUUGGUAACGCCCGAAGCCAGUGACCCAACCGGAAACGGAGGGAGCUGUCGAAGGUGGGACCGAUAACUGGGGUGAAGUCGUAACAAGGUAAC